This 478-nucleotide ribosomal RNA is filed under the name uncultured bacterium. RNAcentral's name for it is "partial 16S ribosomal RNA". It matches the Rfam family "Bacterial small subunit ribosomal RNA", at positions 29 to 507 of the family's 1533-position model. The record is from RNAcentral.
AUGAACGCUGGCGGCGUGCUUAACACAUGCCAGUCGAACGAAGCACCUUGAUUCGAUUCUUCGGAUGAAGAUCUUGGUGACUGAGUGGCGGACGGGUGAGUAACGCGUGGGUAACCUGCCUCAUACAGGGGGAUAACAGUUAGAAAUGACUGCUAAUACCGCAUAAGACCACAGCACCGCAUGGUGCAGGGGUAAAAACUCCGGUGGUAUGAGAUGGACCCGCGUCUGAUUAGGUAGUUGGUGGGGUAACGGCCUACCAAGCCGACGAUCAGUAGCCGACCUGAGAGGGUGACCGGCCACAUUGGGACUGAGACACGGCCCAAACUCCUACGGGAGGCAGCAGUGGGGAAUAUUGCACAAUGGGGGAAACCCUGAUGCAGCGACGCCGCGUGAGCGAUGAAGUAUUUCGGUAUGUAAAGCUCUAUCAGCAGGGAAGAAAAUGACGGUACCUGACUAAGAAGCACCGGCUAAAUACGUG